CCUACGGGUGGCAGCAGUGGGGAAUACUGCACAAUGGGCGCAAGCCUGUUGCAGCCAUGCCGCGUGUGUGAAGAAGGCCUUCGGGUUGUAAAGCACUUUCAGCGGGGAGGAAGGCGGUGAGGUUAAUAACCUCAUCGAUUGACGUUACCCGCAGAAGAAUCACCGGCUAACUCCGUGCCAGCAGCCGCGGUAAUACGGAGGGUGCAAGCGUUAAUCGGAAUUACUGGGCGUAAAGCGCACGCAGGCGGUCUGUCAAGUCGGAUGUGAAAUCCCCGGGCUCAACCUGGGAACUGCAUUCGAAACUGGCAGGCUAGAGUCUUGUCGAGGGGGGUAGAAUUCCAGGUGUAGCGGUGAAAUGCGUAGAGAUCUGGAGAAAUACCGGUGGCGAAGGCGGCCCCCUGGACAAAGACUGACGCUCAGGUGCGAAAGCGUGGGGAGCAAACAGGAUUAGAUACCCCGGUAGUC
RNAcentral lists this ribosomal RNA (465 nucleotides) under uncultured Klebsiella sp. Its description in RNAcentral is "bacterial SSU rRNA". It matches the Rfam family "Bacterial small subunit ribosomal RNA", at positions 338 to 795 of the family's 1533-position model. The record is from RNAcentral. Lineage: Bacteria; Pseudomonadati; Pseudomonadota; Gammaproteobacteria; Enterobacterales; Enterobacteriaceae.